ACUCAAAGGAAUUGACGGGGGCCCGCACAAGCGGUGGAGCAUGUGGUUUAAUUCGUCACUAACCGAAGAACCUUACCCAGGCUUGACAUCGCGUGAAAGGCCCUGAAAGGGGUCCCUCCCCGCAAGGGGACACAAAGACAGGUGUUGCAUGGCUGUCGUCAGCUCGUGUCGUGAGAUGUUGGGUUAAGUCCCGCAACGAGCGCAACCCUCACCCCAUGUUGCCAGCAGGCCCGAAAGGGUGCUGGGCACUCUUGGGGAACUGCCCGUGCAAGCGGGAGGAAGGUGGGGAUGACGUCAAGUCGGCAUGGCCCUUACGCCUGGGGCUACACACAUGCUACAAUGGACGCAAAGCACAAACGGUUACCGAGACCGCGAGGUGGAGGCAAUCCGAUAAAGGCGUCCUCAGUUGGGAUUGCAGGCUGCAACUCGCCUGCAUGAACGCGGAAUCGCUAGUAACCGCCGGUCAGCUAAACGGCGGUGAAUACGUUCCCGGGCCUUGUACACACCGCCCGU
This 513-nucleotide ribosomal RNA is filed under the name uncultured bacterium. RNAcentral's name for it is "partial 16S ribosomal RNA". It matches the Rfam family "Bacterial small subunit ribosomal RNA", at positions 899 to 1397 of the family's 1533-position model. The record is from RNAcentral.